Molecule: long non-coding RNA, 1445 nt
Filed under: Zea mays
Lineage: Eukaryota; Viridiplantae; Streptophyta; Magnoliopsida; Poales; Poaceae
Description: long non-coding RNA (ZMAY_LNC002826)
Source: RNAcentral
CCAACAUUUGCAGCGGAAAUAAAUUCUUUAUUGCAAAAUGAUUACAUGUUACAAUAAGUUUACAUUAGACAAUUAUCGGAGUGAUUACAAAAGAAAGUGAUUCAAAAGAAUUACAAUUUAAAAUGUAUAAAAUAUUUACAGGUUUUAAAAUACAUGCUAGCUUAAGUGACAAUCCUCAAUAAAGAAGCUAAAGAUGGGAUAUACUUAUAUAAGAAGGCCGAGCCCACCGGCACUUAGCACCAUCCACAACAGAACAAACUUAUAAUCCUGAAAAAACAACAGGGAAUAAAACCCUGAGUACGCAAUUACUCAGCAAGACUUACCCGACUAAGAAAAGACUCUCAAGGAUAUGCUAGUUUGUCGGGAAUCAAGGUAAAGCUUAUCAAAUUUCAAAGACUCAUUUUCGCAGAAAAGCUUACUAGUAGUGGAUCCUUAUGCAAAAAGUUUACUUCACAAAUUAAGUACUUUUCCUGAAUCUAGAUUUGCCUAAUCUAGAGCAUUCACUUGUCCUACACUAGCUUUAUUUUAGCAGCAUUUAGUUUCACUUGUUAUCUACGAUGUGGGUCGAAGAUCCAGUCUUCAUAUCCGAGAAGUUCGGCGAUCCGAAUCGAUUAAUACCCAGCUGGGGAUCUCCAACCACACGACAUAUGUAGCACUUAACCCUUGCAUAUGUCAACUCGCCCACGAGUUUCUCAAGACCAGAACGGGUCCCCGCCAACCGAGAGCUCAGUACCCCACCAUCCAGCCUCUUGCCAGGUGGAUACACGAUACUCUCGCCAUCUCUCCACUCCCAUUGCGGGCCGGCCUUUCUGGUAUUGGUCUGACCGAGGCGAAGCUUACCCAUGACGAGGCAUGUGGCCAGUUAAAGGGUCCUAGAUCAGCAGGCCAACAAUCGGAACGGUCCUUAAGCGACACAGACGGGCGACCUUUCCUGCUCAACGUCUGGUCUCAUAUUAAGUUAUUUCCGAAAACCUGGUACCUGUCAGAGGUACCCUACUGAAAUGAUGAAGUCAUCAAGGCCUUUGAUACCUUCAUCACUCCAGCCUCUUUUCUUUGUAAAAACAUGAUUCAUAGAUCAAAACAUUUUAUUCUUAGUCUAUGAGCAUACUAAGCACAUCUAGCUUUUUAAAACAGGUAUCAAAGAUGGCAAUCAAUAGUUCAAGGAAGUUAUGCAACAAAGGUUUAAUCAUUCAACUCCUACCACCUAAUGCAGCAUAUAAGUGAUAAAAGUUUAAAAACAGCAAUGGGGUGGCAAAUGCACCGGGGCUUGCCUGAGAUAACACUAGGUUAGUGUUGUUAGAUGACGUCCACUUGGCGAGCAUCUCACAUCCUAGCGCUUGAUCCGAUCAUGCAAAUCUUCAAGUUUAUUCAUCAGUAUCCCUUGCGAAGAAACACACGCUAAACAGCAUCUCGUGGUCGACUCAGCUUGACUUCCGCAUCACGUG